RNAcentral lists this ribosomal RNA (465 nucleotides) under Vreelandella stevensii. Its description in RNAcentral is "partial 16S ribosomal RNA". It matches the Rfam family "Bacterial small subunit ribosomal RNA", at positions 338 to 795 of the family's 1533-position model. Lineage: Bacteria; Pseudomonadati; Pseudomonadota; Gammaproteobacteria; Oceanospirillales; Halomonadaceae. The record is from RNAcentral.
CCUACGGGAGGCAGCAGUGGGGAAUAUUGGACAAUGGGGGCAACCCUGAUCCAGCCAUGCCGCGUGUGUGAAGAAGGCCCUCGGGUUGUAAAGCACUUUCAGUGAGGAAGAACGCCUGGUGGUUAAUACCCAUCAGGAAAGACAUCACUCACAGAAGAAGCACCGGCUAACUCCGUGCCAGCAGCCGCGGUAAUACGGAGGGUGCGAGCGUUAAUCGGAAUUACUGGGCGUAAAGCGCGCGUAGGUGGCUUGAUAAGCCGGUUGUGAAAGCCCUGGGCUCAACCUGGGAACGGCAUCCGGAACUGUCAAGCUAGAGUGCAGGAGAGGAAGGUAGAAUUCCCGGUGUAGCGGUGAAAUGCGUAGAGAUCGGGAGGAAUACCAGUGGCGAAGGCGGCCUUCUGGACUGACACUGACACUGAGGUGCGAAAGCGUGGGUAGCAAACAGGAUUAGAUACCCUAGUAGUC